GUACUUGCUUUUACUAAAUCAGUUAUGGUUCACUAGAUCGUAAAUUUUACACGGAUAACUGUGGUAAUUCUAGAGCUAAUACGUGCAACCAGCUCGCUUCCUUGUGGAGCGAGCGCAGUUAUUAGAACAAGACCAAUCCGGCCUUCGGGUCGGUACAAUUGGUGACUCUGAAUAACCGAAGCGGAGCGCAUGGUCUCGUACCGGCGCCAGAUCUUUCAAGUGUCUGACUUAUCAGCUUGUUGUUAGGUUAUGUUCCUAACAAGGCUUCAACGGGUAACGGGGUAUCAGGGUCCGAUACCGGAGAGGGAGCCUGAGAAACGGCUACCACAUCCAAGGAAGGCAGCAGGCGCGCAAAUUACCCACUCCUAGCACAGGGAGGUAGUGACGAAAAAUAACGAUGCGAGGGCUUAUAGCUUCUCGUAAUCGGAAUGGGUACACUUUAAAUCCUUUAACGAGGAUCUAUUGGAGGGCAAGUCUGGUGCCAGCAGCCGCGGUAAUUCCAGCUCCAAUAGCGUAUAUUAAAGUUGCUGCGGUUAAAAAGCUCGUAGUUGGAUCUGGGCUUCUGAAUGGAUGGUGCGCUUUACGGUGCUACUGUCCGUUUGGUGCCACAAGCCGGCCAUGUAGUGCAUGCUCUUCAUUGAGUGUGCAUUGCGACCGGAACGUUUACUUUGAAAAAAUUAGAGUGCUCAAAGCAGGCGUACGGCCUUGCAUAAUGGUGCAUGGAAUAAUGGAAUAGGACCUCGGUUCUAUUUUGUUGGUUUUCGGAACUCGAGGUAAUGAUUAAUAGGAACAGACGGGGGCAUUCGUAUUGCGGCGUUAGAGGUGAAAUUC
This 831-nucleotide ribosomal RNA is filed under the name Macrobiotus gretae. RNAcentral's name for it is "SSU rRNA". It matches the Rfam family "Eukaryotic small subunit ribosomal RNA", at positions 90 to 919 of the family's 1831-position model. The record is from RNAcentral. Lineage: Eukaryota; Metazoa; Tardigrada; Eutardigrada; Parachela; Macrobiotidae.